AGAUGGUGACACAUUUGUUAUCUUCCAAAAGUUUUGUCACAAAGAGUCUUACUUUCAGUACCCCUUACCGUCAUCCAGAAUUGGAUGCUACAGAGUGUCGCAGCUGAACAGCAGACCUGGCAUUACAAGGCUCAAUAAUAUUACUGGCAAAUAUUUUCUUUGUCCAGACAACACAGCUUUCAUUGCAUUGCCAAUCAUGCAUAGUCAAUAAAAAAAACAGAGUUUAUUUUAUCGGGUUUGCUUGUAAUUGUUGCCUAUAUACAUUUUAAGCUAUUAUUUAUUAUUUAGUUCAGUCAAUAGAUCUAGUUUUGUAGUGACUAUGAAAUAUAUUGUAAUUAUCUGUUUCCUGUUUAUCCUAGACAGGGCAAGAAAAGACUCCAAAUUUUAUAAAAAGAUAAAAAUGAAAGACUGGUGCAGUGUGCAGUUCAGCACUGGUGGUACAGAAAUAGUCCCUAGUUCAUGGUUAAAUGGGGAGAAAUUGUCAUGGCCUCCAUAUCCUCCGCGAGACACAUUCAGGAUCCACGCCGCAGUAAAGAGGAGAGUUCAUCCUGGUGCAACAUGGCUCACCUAUGCACCAGUCCGGCUUCUCAUAAGCCAUGACACAUUUCAAGAAGCCGAACGCAGUCUUCAGAAAUAUCUAAGUGAACACUGUGAUACGUCUGACCUUCAGUCCGAAGCUGAAACUCAGACCAGUCAUAAAAGAAAGCACUAACCAAAUCCCCUGUACACAUAUAGUGACUCAGAGGAUG
This is a long non-coding RNA of Oreochromis niloticus (Nile tilapia), 749 nucleotides long. RefSeq lists it as uncharacterized. Lineage: Eukaryota; Metazoa; Chordata; Actinopteri; Cichliformes; Cichlidae. The transcript has 3 exons. The record is from RefSeq and is a predicted model, not a curated record.